RNAcentral lists this ribosomal RNA (231 nucleotides) under uncultured Staphylococcus sp. Its description in RNAcentral is "partial 16S ribosomal RNA". It matches the Rfam family "Bacterial small subunit ribosomal RNA", at positions 109 to 334 of the family's 1533-position model. Lineage: Bacteria; Bacillati; Bacillota; Bacilli; Caryophanales; Staphylococcaceae. The record is from RNAcentral.
AGUAACACGUGGAUAACCUACCUAUAAGACUGGGAUAACUUCGGGAAACCGGAGCUAAUACCGGAUAAUAUUUUGAACCGCAUGGUUCAAAAGUGAAAGACGGUCUUGCUGUCACUUAUAGAUGGAUCCGCGCUGCAUUAGCUAGCUGGUAAGGUAACGGCUUACCAAGGCAACGAUGCAUAGCCGACCUGAGAGGGUGAUCGGCCACACUGGAACUGAGACACGGUCCAG